AAACUCUCUUUGGAUUGGCCAUCAAAGACACCACACUUGAGACUAGAAACUCCAUAACUAAUGUAAAAUGACCGAUGAUAAUGAAAAGACAGUAGCUAAAAGAGGGUAAAAGGUGGAUCUGGAGUUUUCCUACGCAUCCAAAGCAUCUCUCAUGUCUUCAGGUCAUCAGACAUGGCUGAAGGUAUACAAUGCAUUGCAAGGAUAUCAGACGUUGCCGCUUUUGCAUUUGUAGUCUGCAGUACAACAAUCUGAUUAUAAUCAAGAUCAAACUUCAUGUACUCUUCUUUACAGGCCUCCACCAUCUUAGCCAAGCUCUUCAGAUUUUUUACCGGCUUGCCGUUGAAAGCAAUAACCUGAGUGUUUACCAGUUCUUCAUAACCAAUAUUGAUGUCAGCCACAAGCACCUGAGAAACCACAACCAGUUGUUCAUCCAUUGACUGUGCCAUUGCGUGUAAAAGUUUGUCCAACAACUUAACCGGAGCAUCAAAUUCAUAGUCUUUUCCAUACUCGGAACGUAAAUAUGGAACAGAAACAGCAGAGAAGACAAAACCACCAACAAUGUAGUAAGAAGGAGGUUUUCCCUUGAUAUGAGCUGGAAUCAAUCGUUUAUGUGCAUUAAGCUUUAUUUUGAAUUCUAGAGUUUUAGAUUUACGGAGAACUUUCACUUGAGCAUCAUCUCCAGUAUAUUUUUGAGAAACGAGAUAGCUGAAACCAAUACGCUCUCCAUGCCUGAACGGUACUGUUCCGUCAUUCGCUAUAUCAACCCCAUCAAAGCUAAGGAUAACAUCUGAAGGCUUUAGAACAUUGGAUUCUGGGGCCGUAGGCUCAACUCUUCGGAUACGAACACCCUUCUGAUUAUGUGCCAUACCCAUCGACAAGCGGAGGUCAGGAUUUUCCAUUUUUUGCCAUUCAAUCCCAAUGAUAGGAAAUCCUGUGUAUGCUCCAUUCUUCUCAUAAUCUUGAAUGAAAUGCAUAAUUACUGGUGUUGGUAUGACAUAACCAAUGUUCUCGGCAUCUUCAUGUUUAAGGGAUUGAAAUGCAAUACCUACACACUUCCCCUUAUCAUUGAAUGCAGGUCCACCAGAAUUUCCAGAAUUGAUGGCAGCAUCUAUCUGCAAUCCGAGGAGCUCGGUUGACACAUGAACAUAAGAUAGUAUCUCGAUACGCGAGACAACACCACUAGUCACAGAG
RNAcentral lists this unclassified non-coding RNA (1191 nucleotides) under Hevea brasiliensis (rubber tree). The record is from RNAcentral. Lineage: Eukaryota; Viridiplantae; Streptophyta; Magnoliopsida; Malpighiales; Euphorbiaceae.